Molecule: transfer RNA, 73 nt
Filed under: Malassezia obtusa
Lineage: Eukaryota; Fungi; Basidiomycota; Malasseziomycetes; Malasseziales; Malasseziaceae
Description: tRNA-Asp
Rfam family: tRNA
About the family: Transfer RNA (tRNA) molecules are approximately 80 nucleotides in length.
Source: RNAcentral
GGGAUCUUAGCAUAAUGGUUAAUGCACCAAAUUGUCAGUUUGGAUUAUGCCCGUUCGAGUCGGGUAGUUCUCG